RNAcentral lists this ribosomal RNA (572 nucleotides) under Elaphomyces cf. muricatus OF21312. RNAcentral describes it as "SSU rRNA". It matches the Rfam family "Bacterial small subunit ribosomal RNA", at positions 359 to 964 of the family's 1533-position model. Lineage: Eukaryota; Fungi; Ascomycota; Eurotiomycetes; Eurotiales; Elaphomycetaceae. The record is from RNAcentral.
AGAUAUUAGUCAAUGGCCUAAAGGCUGAACCAGUAACUUGGAAGAAUGUAAAUGUAUUAAUAAUUAAUACAAUAACGAUUAAUUCGUAUAAAAUUCUAAAUAGAAUAAUGAUAAUGACAAUUUUCUAUUUAUAAGUCUUGACCAAAUUACGUGCCAGCAGUCGCGGUAAUACGUAAAAGACUAGUGUUAGUCAUCUUUAUUAGGUUUAAAGGGUACCUAGACGGUAAAUUAAACUCUUAUUGAGUAUCUUUUUACUAGAGUUUUAUAAGAGAAGGAAGAAUUUCUGGAGUAGUGAUAAAAUACUUUUAUACCAAAAAGACUGAUAACGGCGAAGGCAUCCUUCUAUGUAAAAACUGACGUUGAGGGACGAAGGCUUGGGUAGCAAUAAGGAUUAGAUACCCUAGUAGUCCAAGCAGAAAAUGAUGAAUGUCAUAAACUAGAUAAUUAAUUUAGUAUAUAAAUGAAAGUGUAAGCAUUCCACCUCAAGAGUAAUAUGGCAACAUAUAAACUGAAAUCAUUAGACCGUUUCUGAAACCAGUAGUGAAGUAUGUUAUUUAAUUCAUUAAUCCGCA